AAUAGGCACACAAGCAAUUACAUCACAGAUCGAAGCAUCGAUCUAAUCGACUUAGUCGAUUUCACAUCAGGAAGACCACUCACGAUCAUCUCCCUUCAAUCAUUCAAUUCACAACAUCAACCCAAGGCAAUGCAUCACAUCAAGUCACAUUCAGAUCGAAUAAUCGAUCAAUCGACCUAGUCGAUUACAAGUCAAUCAGACCAUCUCAUGGUCAUUUCCAAUCAAUCUGCCCAUUCACAACACCAGAUCAAGCAAUGAUCAAUCGACCUAGUCGAUUAUAUAUCAACAAGACCACUUCCGGUCAUUUCAACUAUUCCAAUUCAAUUCCCAAUUAUGAAUCACGGUCCUUAGGACACAACUUAAUUAUAGGUGGUAAUCAUGGCCCCACCAAGCAAUUUUCUUAGAUUUAGUGGCAUCACGGCCCCACCCAGCAACUUUUAAUAUGUAGUGGCAUCACGGCCCCACUCGGCAAUGCUAUAUGUAGUGGCAUCACGGCCCCACUCGGCAAUGUUAUAUGUAGUGGCAUCACGGCCCCACUCGGCAACUUUCAAUAUGUAGUGGCAUCACGGCCCCACUCGGCAAUGUCAUAUGUAGUGGCAUCACGGCCCCACUCGGCAACUUU
This 622-nucleotide long non-coding RNA is filed under the name Eucalyptus grandis. RNAcentral describes it as "long non-coding RNA (EGRA_LNC007925)". Lineage: Eukaryota; Viridiplantae; Streptophyta; Magnoliopsida; Myrtales; Myrtaceae. The record is from RNAcentral.